CGCUGUCCUGAAAAAAAGUAAUCUGAGAUGAUUUAUAUUUAAUCAGGAUGAAGGCGGAUCGCUGUCCUGAAAAGCUUGAGCAUAUAGCACUCAAGAUGUGACUUUAUACAAUAUGAAAACUGAAAAUUCUUCAGGAUUCGAAAUAUUCAAGGAUAAUGAUUGGCAAAGACUGUUUUUUAAAGUUUAUAUGUUGUAGAAAAAAAUUAAGGUUGGGAGGAAUGUUAUAUCCAAUAAAUGGCUGCCGAUUAGGUGCGUCUUGACUGGGGCCACCACCUGGUGGAUGAUGUGGUAAUGGGAACGAGUGUGAAAGAAGCACAUGGCAAGUGAGACCCACAGCACCUGGUCAUAGCAGAUGAUAUGUAUUCAACCCAAGGUGGAGCAGUGGUCAUUGCCCACCGUCACCCAUCACCAUGCCAAAAACACCUUCUUGCAGCCCCAGUCUCCAUACAACAUGGUGUCUUCUAGGUGAACUGACUUUACCUGGCUGAACAUGGGGGACAUGUAUUUUAUAAAAAGCAAACAUAAAAAGACAGCAACAGGAACAUUGUCAUCUCACCCAGUUGUGCAAGACACGGGAUGUGGCAAGUUUUAGGAUGAAUGAACAGCCAGAGACAGGACAGCCAUUGAAAACAGGUGACUGGACCUCUUGCAGAUAGCAGACAAAUGUUUGUGGUUGUUUUUUAUACAAAUAAGGAUAGCAAAUACACUUCUGGAAUGGUGUAAAGAGCUGCUGGCAGACCAAGAGGUGAAUUUUAUUCUGAGUGAGAGAGAGAGUGCUGCCAGAGCCGCCCAGAACAAGACUUCCAAACACGGCAGAUCCUGUGGAGCCAGUUAUAUGGAACAGUACAAUUACACAACAAAUGUGGGUUCCAGGUAACACAAAGAAUUAAUUUCCCCAUAUGUAUGGAAACUAUAGAGUCAGGGUAUAUAAAGCAAGGAGAUUGUGUUGGACAAUACCCUGUCACUGAAGAUGAAUAGACAUAAUGGAAAUGUUUAAAAGUGAAUUGAUAUUUCAGCUCAGUUGUGAUGUGUUAUAAUAAUUUUCCUCAUAUGCAUGGAAACUUUUACAGUACUAGUAGAGGUAGCAUAUACAGUGAGAUUGUGGUAGACAACAUGCCAUAGCUGAAGAGACCAAGAGGUCAUUGAAAAUGUUUAGAUGUGAAUUUAUAUUUCAGGUCAGAUAUGAUGUGUUAUAAAUGGUCUCUGUUAUUGCGAGUGCAUUAAGUUAUAAUUGCAAAUUUUAUCACAUAUUUAUUAUAUACAGACACUUUCAGUCUGUCUAUAUUCUGAUCACUGUGUCUGUUCAGUGUCAUUGCCAUAGUCAGCACUUUGUGACACAUCUGUUGUUUGCCCUAAAACUGAUAAACUGUAUUUUUGUUUUGAAUUCCUCUAGAAAAUCAGCAUGCUUGGAUUAUUUUAUGAUGUUGUUUUGUUAUUGUUAGCAGUUUGGAUAUGAUGCUACAGUAUUUCCUGAGUAUAUCAAAUUAAAGCAGCAAUGUAAAUGUGUUUGUGCAUCAGGAGUGGUUUUAGUGCAUCUGCCUGUUUCAAUGUGGAGUUUGUGUGAAAACAACUAAGGCUUUUUCUUUUUUCAUCAUCUUGAACAACGUCCAGAUAUUUUUUCUUUUUUAAAUGUAUUUUUGAAUUGGCAGUAGAUGCUGGAUUUAGAUUUGUCCACAAGUUAACUGUGCAAGUUUUGUACGAAGCCACUGAUGAUGUGUUUUUUGAAUGUGCUAAGGAAUUUUUUGUGAGGAUUCUGUUUUAACCAUACAUCUCCAAAUCCGUUUCGAAUAGAGAAGUAAUCAUCUUUCAGAUUUGACAAGCUUUUUGUUGAGAGUAAUUUGUAAUAUUGUAAUUCAUCUGUAGGUUUGCUUGUUUAAGUAGGUUGUUAUCAUCCAAGUGUUAUAUUUUAAGCCAAAAUUUUAUUAAUUGUAUUUUAUACUUUAUGUGAGCAAGAAUUCUUCCAGUCUCUCCUCUGCCUGCAUACUUUGAUGAUAAAAGUUGUUUACAAAACCUGAGGUUAAGUUUUUACAAUUUUUACUGUUAGAGUAGUAUAGCCUCAUAACUCUGAUCUGUAUGUUCAUGACUCCAUAAUGCCCCAGCUUUGGACAGAUGUUAUUAAGUCUGUAAUUUUCAUUGUUUCUUGAGCACAAACAUUUAGUUUUAUGGUCUCAUUCCCUGAGUAAAAUGGUCAUGGGAUAUUUUAUUUGAUUUUGAAAUCCUUCGGUAUGCAGGUUACUUUAGUUGGGGAAGCAUAUGGGAAUGCUGAGCUCAUUAUUGCCUGCCCAAUAUAUAUAGCAGCACAUCUGAUGUCAGCAUUUUUGCUUUUGAUUAUUGACUUCAGAAGAAGAUUUAAAGAGGGUGGUAACACUGAUAGGUUUUGGGAAACAGAGCUAACAUCUUUUUUUAGUGGGAUAUAUGUUGUUAUGCUUUGGUAGGGCUCUACCAUACUUGCCCGUACUGGAAACUCACUUGCUCGAAUUUUACCAAGCAAAAAAUAAACAGUGUUUAUGUCUUUCUUCAUUUCAAUUUUAUUCUGGUGUUUGGGGUUUCUAUUCUGUGAAAUAUCUGAAAUGUAAUGAUAGUCUUAGAUAUGUCUGAGAUAUUGCCUGAGAAAAUGCUUCAAAUCUGCAAUACAGAAUAUAAAGAGAAUAAUGAGUACAAAUAUUGUCAUCCUUUCUUGUCAAAUUUC
Molecule: long non-coding RNA, 2689 nt
Organism: Lingula anatina
Lineage: Eukaryota; Metazoa; Brachiopoda; Lingulata; Lingulida; Lingulidae
Source: RefSeq, a predicted model, not a curated record